This 399-nucleotide ribosomal RNA is filed under the name uncultured bacterium. RNAcentral's name for it is "bacterial SSU rRNA". It matches the Rfam family "Bacterial small subunit ribosomal RNA", at positions 975 to 1375 of the family's 1533-position model. The record is from RNAcentral.
CAGGUCUUGACAUCCUUUGACCACUCUAGAGAUAGAGCUUUCCCUUCGGGGACAAAGUGACAGGUGGUGCAUGGUUGUCGUCAGCUCGUGUCGUGAGAUGUUGGGUUAAGUCCCGCAACGAGCGCAACCCCUAUUAUUAGUUGCCAGCAUUUAGUUGGGCACUCUAGUGAGACUGCCGGUGAUAAACCGGAGGAAGGUGGGGAUGACGUCAAAUCAUCAUGCCCCUUAUGACCUGGGCUACACACGUGCUACAAUGGAUGGUACAACGAGUCGCAAGAUCGCGAGGUCAAGCUAAUCUCUUAAAGCCAUUCUCAGUUCGGAUUGCAGGCUGCAACUCGCCUGCAUGAAGCCGGAAUCGCUAGUAAUCGCGGAUCAGAACGCCGCGGUGAAUACGUUCCC